ACAGAGAAAGCGUGGAGAGCCUUAUCCAAAAGCAUUCCUAUGCCCGAUCCCCCAUUCGAACCUAUGGAGGAGAAGACGAUCUGGGAGAUGACAGUCAGGCAACACAAAACAGAGGAUCAGCUUUUACAACAUCUGAUAACCUGUCCCUCAGUUCCUGGGUAUCCUCCUCAACCAAUUUUCCUGGAUUUCAGCAUCCACAGUCAUUGAGUGCCCUGGGUACCAGUGCUGCAUCCAUAGCUACACCCAUCCCUCAUCCAAUCCAAGGAUCUCUGCCUCCAUACAGCCGCUUGGGAAUGCCUCUUACACCCUCUGCAAUAGCGAGCUCCAUGCAAGGUAGUGGCCCCACUUUCCCUUCCUUCCACAUGCCUAGGUACCACCAUUAUUUUCAGCAGGGUCCUUAUGCAGCUAUCCAGGGACUGCGUCACUCCUCCGCAGUGAUGACGCCAUUUGUAUGACUAAUGUAAGACAAGAGAAACACGAGAUUUUAAAUGUGCAAGCUUGGUAUGAAAAAAUACAAGGGACCUUCCUGAAAGGCCAGUGGCAGGAGAGUUCUGAACUCGUAACAAACCAGCUAAGAAAAUGCAUAAUGGAGAUUGAUUCCUCCCUUGAGGGAUCACAAGAAGAGAGCGUGCAGCUUGGAGCUGCUCACAGACCUAUGUGUAACACAGUUGAAAUGGAUCCCAAAGUUCCCAGGAUUUCUGGUCACAUGCAGGUUGUUCCAAAGGUGCAUUCUGCCUUGUGGAAGAAUAUGUUUAUGCAGCAGUGUACAAAUUAAUUGUGUAUAGGUCUUUUUCCAUAUGCUAGAAGGAUUCUGAAAAAGGCAAUACUCUCACUCAUCUCCAUCUCUCCUUGUGACUAAUGAGCAUCUAAACAGAAAAAUGUGUCACUGUAAUUUUGAGCAUGUUUUGGGCUAUCUCAACAUACUUUUGCUGGGAAUAGGACAAAGUGGAGAAGGCCACUGUCCUUUUUGAAAGUCUGUCUUAUAUUCACCAAGAGCAGUAUUUCAUAGUUGCUACUAUAACCUCAAAGAGAAAAUUAUUAACAAGUUUUUUUUUUUCUUCUUUCUCUGUUUCUUUCAUAAAACAGUUAUCAAUUCCAAAAAGAACUGUGUUACAGGACUGUAGCAGUAAUGAUGUAUUCUGUCCUUUGGUCUAACAAUAAGCUUGUCCUGUGUCCUAGGAGGAGCAAUUUAGCUGUCUAUUAAGGUAUCAUGAAGGAAAACGUUGAUUUUCGAAAAAUCUGUUACUUAAACUUAGAGACCCAACACAUAAAAUCUUUAAAUCAAAGAUUCUGUUUGCUGCUGUGCUUGCCACUAAAGAUCUGUGUUCAGCUGCAAAUGUGUACCAUUAAUUAACAGAAUUUCAGGCUGGAUCAGUCUAUAUAUAUUCUAGAUCAACCUAUAAUCAAUAAUCGUCAUAUAAGAUGAAUGGCAUUGGAGUAUCCUUCUACUUAUUCUAAUUUUCUUGUGUUUGGUCAUGGCUGUUAUUAGACAAGCUGUUUGGUCAGGUAAAUGAGGAUUGUAUUGUCUGUUUUUUCAUGUCCCAGUAGAAUGGUGUGUUCUUGGGAAAAUUUCAGUGUCAAACUUUGCGUAUAUAUUUUUUAUUCACAUUUUCCUUUUUUAGUUAGCAAUUAGAGUUCUCAUUCAAAGUACUGUCGACUUUUUCUAGCACAUUGUGUCCAAUACAACUGUAGAGUCAUAGGAAAAAUUGACCUCUCUGCAGAGACCUAGCAUGAGUUUUUUGCACUGUUGAAAAAUGAACCAAUGUGCUGCUGGUUUUCUGCAUGGCGGGAACUGGGAUUUCACUGUAAAUAAGAAGUCAACACAGAGUUUCUGUGUACAGUUGCAUCCAAGUUAUAGAUGAUAAGACAUCUACUCGUUAAAAACAAACAAACAAAAAAGAACUAGCAAUCCAAUCCCAUAUAUCAAAGUUCUGUGCAGAGGUGGAACACAGAUUGGAAAGCAGUAUUUUGGCACUGUUCUCUUCUGCUCUUGAUCAGUGGGUGAUGGCAUCAUAUAGAGGGAAGUGGAGAGCAGUACAAUGAGCCACCUACCUCCCCUCUCAGCAAAGUAAGUGCAAGGCAAGUCACGUUUUUUUUUUGUUGUUGUUGUUCCAUUGCCUCAUCUUAUAUGCCCAGUCACACCAAGCAAUGACAACCUCCCAGACUAUUCCCAGUUUCUAUUGUAGGCCGGUGCAUGCAUCUCACAGAUAAGGGCCAUUUUUAUGUAUUUCCCAGUAGUUGAAUUUAAAAUCCCACAAACUGACCUUUACAAUCACCUCAGUUAUCUGCAGUAUCAUCCUAAUUUCCCUCUACUCACUGAUGGACAUGCUGAUAAAAAAAUGACCUGGGGCAAUUUGCAGCUUUCGUGCUCUGCAUGUGAAUGAAAACAAACUUCUAUUUACAGUAUCUGGGUUCAGAGCUACCAGAAGGAGUUCCAUAAAAGCAUAUAAUGAGCAAAGCUCUGGUUUAGAAUCAGACAUGGACUAAAUUUGUCUUGAUAUGUCAAAAUAUUAAAUUUUGCUCCAGGCUAUCAGGUUCAUCUGAAAGGUGCACAUUACAAGAUUGUGCCUACUCACAACCUGGGUUAAUAUAAAAAUACUCUUUGCUGGAAAAUUAGAUGAUACUAGAAAAAUCUAGAUGAUGCUAGAAAAGACCCACAAGAGAAUACCUCUUCGAGUACAUAUAAAAUUCCACAAUUGUGAGAAUUCCAGGGGAGAUUUGGAAGGAAAUUUUAAUACCUCUCCUUCAGUUGCUUGACUUCUGUAAGAAAUACGUGUAGUUGUACGCAGGUACUAUGAUGAUGUUCACUAAAGCCUGUGGGGAAGUUCUAUUUCUUGUAUCUGUUUCCUUCUGCAGCUCCAUCAGCUUAUCUGGGGUUGCACGGAACAUGGUUAGGUUAAGAAGUCAAGCCAGUACCUUUAAUGCUGAUAUCAGAAAGUGGUCAAGUAAGCAGGCAGCUUUCGCAUGGAUCUGGAAACAAGUUUGGAACAGGUAGGCUGAUUUAGGCAAGCUUUUCAAGUUACAUAAAGGCUGUUCAUACAUUGACCUGCCCUUCCUUCAUGAAGCAAAGGUGGAGAAAAAAAAAGUACAAUCUUCAGCCCUUUCCCAGUCCCUGUUCUAAGAAUACAAAUAUUAGGCAUGCACAAAUACCCCUGAUAAUGUUUCAUAGAAAAUUCUCCAGGCUCUUCCUGAAGGAAUGAAACUGGAUGUUGACAAUGCCAUUUACCAAAAUAUCAAGUGAAAGACAAGAGCUUUCCACUACAAGUAAAAUGCAACACAUAUCUGAAAAAUAUGGCAGUAGACUCUCCCUAUAUAAAAACAUAAGGCCAAUGCCUCCUCAAGAUUCUCCGUGAUGAGGUUCACUUUGAAGAUGAUCAAGAAAGGUUUCUGCAGAAACCUAUCUGUCAAAUCCACACCCUGAUUUUUCCGGUCAGGUCAAGGCUCAAAUCUCUCUCUCCACCUAAUUUCUUCUCCCUGUCCCUCUCACCUUCCUGUGGACAAGGGACAGCAUGAGAGUGAUUCCGAGAUAAAAUUCCUGCUUCUCUGAAGUCAGUAGUAAAUUUCUUGACUGUAAUGGAGACAGGAUUUCAUUCAACAUUCUUACCUAAAAAUAAAGUCAAACUGCCUGGACAGUAACUGUGACAGCAACAAUAUAGGAACUCUGCAAAAAAAAGCUAAAAAAACAAGCAAACAAACAAACAAAAAAAAAAAGAACAUAAAUUUGUAAUUAAUUGGUUAGAGAGUGAAAUUGCUUUGCCUAAAAAAAAAAACAAAAAACCAAACCAAACAAACAAAAAAACAACCUCUACUGCUUUGACAAUAACUCAGUUAUUUACUUAAGGAGUUGCUGUACCACUGUCACAAUUAUAUCACUUUCAGGAUAGAACAUCUGUUGCUGGUAGAUGGUCUAGGAAUGCCAAAUAUAAUCUAGAGUUUAUUUUCCAAUAUAAUUCACAUUUUAUAUCCCCUGAGAAGUGCUCUUCACCUUUAUGAGCUGUCUUGGCUGAGCAAACUGGUGCUGUUUUGUGGUUGCCUUUUUUUUUUUUUUUUUCUUAUUUAAGAAGGGUGGAGAGAACAUGCCUGAAUAUGCUUUUCAAAGAGAAUGAUAAGAUUAUGCUCCAAAGUGUUAAGAAUACUUUUGGGUGUUUUCUGGAUUACCCUUUUAUCCACAGAUAGUCAAGAGCCUCAGGUCUUUUGUCCAACAAAAACAUCCCAAACACUAACAAAACUGAUGUGGAUGCAUUUGUCUAUUUUUUUGUUUUUUAAUUCAAGUUUUGGAGCCCUGAGAGAAGCUAGACAUUAAAAACAGUUUAAAUUUGGCUGUUUGGUUUGCAGCAUUGCUUUAUAUGUCCUGAGGAACACUCAAAGAUUCAGUCUCACUGGUUUCAGUGGUACUCUUCCAGGUAUAAGCUGACAAACACCAAGUGGAUAAAGGUGCAGAGAUUUGGAUGGAAAUCCUUCUUUGCAAGUUCCGACAUAGUAUGUUGUGUGAUAGCUAACAUCCUUAUAGUGCAGUCUAAAAAAUGCAACAGCAAAUUUUUCACUAGAAGGCUUUAUCAAUGUGGGCUGUGUGACUGCAUGAGCAUAUACACAUAUUAAGUUGUUGCAGCUUCCAACAUCCAGCAAACGCUAACCAGCAUUUGUAAAUGAACCUCUUUUAAACUGAAACAGUCUGGGCUGGCACUUGUUUAUGCACUACAUCCUCUUUAUUUGUGUGUAUAUUAUAGAGAAAUGGAAAUAUCAAUGAGAAUUAUUGCAAAAAUCUGGGGAGCUUUCCAAAACUGGAAGUUAACACAAAUUGUGGUAAUUUACCCCUAGAUAAGGGGUAAAGCAAAGUGAGAUCAGUGUAACACUUAGGGCUCAUUAUCUGGGAGGAAGUUUUGUCCUCAGAGCUUAUGCUCAUCAUCUGCAGAGGGGUGAUGUUCACUCACUGCAAGAUUAUUUUUUGUUUUGGUGAGAUCUUAUUCUCACUACUCCUUACAGAGUGUUUUCGGCUGCAGAAGAUGUGGUUUCUUUACUAACCACUUAUGUGCUGGCCAGAGGAUUUAUGUAUUACUCUGUGAUAAACUGUCCUUGAAUAUAGUCUCUACUUUAUAAAAUAACAACUUCUUUUUCUUUAUUUUAUCUUUUUUAAAAGAAAACUAAGCAGUGAUUUAAGUAAACUGAAGUAACUUUUUAUGAUAGAUUAAGGACAAAAAAUACAGUUUGCUGUAUUUUACCUUUAGCACAUUUAAACAAUUUUUUUUUGUACCUUGAGACACGUGAGGAAAGAUUUGGUUUAUAAAUGAGGAAGGUAAAAACUGGAUGUAACCUCUUUAACAGAAUGUACCACAGUUCUGCUGUUUGCUGUGUUGACUUUGUUGUUUAUAAUGCAUUGUGUGAGCACAUUCACCAUGUACUGAAGUGUGUGUUUGUGUGUAUGGGGUGGGGGUAGGGGGAAAUCUUUUUAUGGAAAAAGAAGUUAUGAACAUAAACUAUGAAGCAACAUCUAAUGAAAAGUUUCUUUUUAAGUGCAAUAUAUUUAUUUCUGCUAGAAAUAUAUCAACAUUAUGUAAUAUUUGAAGCAUUAAAUGUUAUUUGUAAGCAGCUUAAAAUUAUAUAUAUAUCACAAAAAUUGUACAGAAGUGCAAAUGUGUGGAUAUUCAGUUUCUUUCAUUAAAAUAUUGGGUGUUUUGA
Long non-coding RNA from Cygnus olor (mute swan), 5676 nucleotides. RefSeq lists it as uncharacterized. The record is from RefSeq and is a predicted model, not a curated record. NCBI's taxonomy places the organism in Eukaryota, Metazoa, Chordata, Aves, Anseriformes, Anatidae. The transcript is spliced from 2 exons.